RNAcentral lists this ribosomal RNA (678 nucleotides) under uncultured Kluyveromyces. Its description in RNAcentral is "eukaryotic LSU rRNA". The stretch from base 240 to 393 matches the Rfam family "5.8S ribosomal RNA". The record is from RNAcentral. Lineage: Eukaryota; Fungi; Ascomycota; Saccharomycetes; Saccharomycetales; Saccharomycetaceae.
AAGGAUCAUUAAAGAUUAUGAAUAAGUUGAUUACUGGGGGAAUCGCUGAAUAUGGCCUGCGCUUAAUUGCGCGGCUAAUUCUUGAUUUUCUGCUAUCAGUUUUCUUUCUCCCAUCCUAAACACAAUGGAGUCUUUUCUCUAUGAACUACUUCCCUGGAGAGCUCGUCUCUCCAGUGGACAUAAACACAAACAACAUUUUGCAUUAUGAAAAACUAUUUAUCAAGAAAUUUAAUAUUCAAAACUUUCAACAACGGAUCUCUUGGUUCUCGCAUCGAUGAAGAACGCAGCGAAUUGCGAUAUGUAUUGUGAAUUGCAGAUUUUCGUGAAUCAUCAAAUCUUUGAACGCACAUUGCGCCCUCUGGUAUUCCAGGGGGCAUGCCUGUUUGAGCGUCAUUUCUCUCUCAAACCUUUGGGUUUGGUAGUGAGUGAUACUCGUCUCGGGUUAACUUGAAAGUGGCUAGCCGUUGCCAUCUGCGUGAGCAGGGCUGCGUGUCAAGUCUAUGGACUCGGCUCUUGCACAUCUACGUCUUAGGUUUGCGCCAAUUCGUGGUAAGCUAGGGUCAAUGAGCUUAUAGGUGUUAUAAAGACUCGCUGGUGUUUGUCUCCUUGAGGCAUACGGCUUAAUCAAAACUCUCAAAGUUUGACCUCAAAUCAGGUAGGAAUACCCGCUGAACUUAA